GGAUGUAGUUCAGUCGGUUAGAGCGUCAGAUUGUGGUUCUGAAUGUCGUGGGUUCGAGUCCCACCAUC
Molecule: transfer RNA, 68 nt
Filed under: bovine gut metagenome
Rfam family: tRNA
About the family: Transfer RNA (tRNA) molecules are approximately 80 nucleotides in length. Their secondary structure includes four short double-helical elements and three loops (D, anti-codon, and T loops). Further hydrogen bonds mediate the characteristic L-shaped molecular structure. tRNAs have two regions of fundamental functional importance: the anti-codon, which is responsible for specific mRNA codon recognition, and the 3' end, to which the tRNAs corresponding amino acid is attached (by aminoacyl-tRNA synthetases). tRNAs cope with the degeneracy of the genetic code in two manners: having more than one tRNA (with a specific anti-codon) for a particular amino acid; and 'wobble' base-pairing, i.e. permitting non-standard base-pairing at the 3rd anti-codon position.
Source: RNAcentral